Molecule: ribosomal RNA, 1347 nt
Filed under: uncultured bacterium
Lineage: Bacteria
Description: partial 16S ribosomal RNA
Rfam family: Bacterial small subunit ribosomal RNA
Source: RNAcentral
GACGAACGCUGGCGGCGUGCUUAACACAUGCAAGUCGAACGGAAAGGCCCUGCUUUUGUGGGGUGCUCGAGUGGCGAACGGGUGAGUAACACGUGAGUAACCUGCCCUUGACUUUGGGAUAACUUCAGGAAACUGGGGCUAAUACCGGAUAGGAGCUCCUGCUGCAUGGUGGGGGUUGGAAAGUUUCGGCGGUUGGGGAUGGACUCGCGGCUUAUCAGCUUGUUGGUGGGGUAGUGGCUUACCAAGGCUUUGACGGGUAGCCGGCCUGAGAGGGUGACCGGCCACAUUGGGACUGAGAUACGGCCCAGACUCCUACGGGAGGCAGCAGUGGGGAAUAUUGCACAAUGGGCGGAAGCCUGAUGCAGCAACGCCGCGUGCGGGAUGACGGCCUUCGGGUUGUAAACCGCUUUCGCCUGUGACGAAGCGUGAGUGACGGUAAUGGGUAAAGAAGCACCGGCUAACUACGUGCCAGCAGCCGCGGUGAUACGUAGGGUGCGAGCGUUGUCCGGAUUUAUUGGGCGUAAAGGGCUCGUAGGUGGUUGAUCGCGUCGGAAGUGUAAUCUUGGGGCUUAACCCUGAGCGUGCUUUCGAUACGGGUUGACUUGAGGAAGGUAGGGGAGAAUGGAAUUCCUGGUGGAGCGGUGGAAUGCGCAGAUAUCAGGAGGAACACCAGUGGCGAAGGCGGUUCUCUGGGCCUUUCCUGACGCUGAGGAGCGAAAGCGUGGGGAGCGAACAGGCUUAGAUACCCUGGUAGUCCACGCUGUAAACGGUGGGUACUAGGUGUGGGGUCCAUUCCACGGGUUCCGUGCCGUAGCUAACGCUUUAAGUACCCCGCCUGGGGAGUACGGCCGCAAGGCUAAAACUCAAAGGAAUUGACGGGGCCCCGCACAAGCGGCGGAGCAUGCGGAUUAAUUCGAUGCAACGCGUAGAACCUUACCUGGGUUUGACAUGGAUCGGGAGUGCUCAGAGAUGGGUGUGCCUCUUUUGGGGUCGGUUCACAGGUGGUGCAUGGCUGUCGUCAGCUCGUGUCGUGAGAUGUUGGGUUAAGUCCCGCAACGAGCGCAACCCUUGUUCACUGUUGCCAGCACGUUAUGGUGGGGACUCAGUGGAGACCGCCGGGGUCAACUCGGAGGAAGGUGGGGAUGACGCCAAGUCAUCAUGCCCCUUAUGUCCAGGGCUUCACGCAUGCUACAAUGGCUGGUACAGAGAGUGGCGAGCCUGUGAGGGUGAGCGAAUCUCGGAAAGCCGGUCUCAGUUCGGAUUGGGGCCUGCAACUCGACCUCAUGAAGUCGGAGUCGCUAGUAAUCGCAGAUCAGCAACGCUGCGGUGAAUACGUUCCCGGGGACU